GUUGCUGACGAGUGGCGGACGGGUGAGUAACGCGUAGGAAUCUACCGAGUAGUGGGGGACAACAGUUGGAAACGACUGCUAAUACCGCAUAAUCCCUGAGGGGGAAAGGAGGGGAUCUGUUUACAGACCUUUCGCUAUUUGAUGAGCCUGCGUGAGAUUAGCUAGUUGGUGAGGUAAUGGCUCACCAAGGCGACGAUCUCUAGCUGGUCUGAGAGGAUGAUCAGCCACACUGGAACUGAGACACGGUCCAGACUCCUACGGGAGGCAGCAGUGGGGAAUAUUGCACAAUGGGGGAAACCCUGAUGCAGCCAUGCCGCGUGUGUGAAGAAGGCCUUCGGGUUGUAAAGCACUUUCAGCGAGGAGGAAAGGAGUAUGUUUAAUAAACGUGCUCUGUGACGUUACUCGCAGAAGAAGCACCGGC
This 421-nucleotide ribosomal RNA is filed under the name uncultured Gammaproteobacteria bacterium. Its description in RNAcentral is "bacterial SSU rRNA". It matches the Rfam family "Bacterial small subunit ribosomal RNA", at positions 84 to 497 of the family's 1533-position model. Lineage: Bacteria; Pseudomonadati; Pseudomonadota; Gammaproteobacteria. The record is from RNAcentral.